Molecule: long non-coding RNA, 219 nt
Filed under: Salvia miltiorrhiza (redroot sage)
Lineage: Eukaryota; Viridiplantae; Streptophyta; Magnoliopsida; Lamiales; Lamiaceae
Description: long non-coding RNA (SMIL_LNC001776)
Source: RNAcentral
UCAAAUUUUAUAGUUUGCUUUUUUGAAUCAAACCAUUUUAUUUUUCAUUUCUAUGGUUUAUAUCUUUGUAAUUACUUAUUUUACUAAUAUUAUUAUAAAUAAGUGAAGAUGAAUCAUUAGAUAUCUUGUACAAAAAUAAUAUAAUUCACAUAUUGAUUAACUAAAUGAAUUUUGAUUUACAUUGCUACAUUCUCAAAACCUUCUCAAAAAAAAAAAAAA